UUAGGAUGUAAAUUAUUUUAACUUAGGUAGUAUUAGUUAAGGUCUUGAAACUUAAAGAAUUUGGCGGUAUUUUAGUCUAUUUAGAGGAAUCUGUCCCGUAAUUGAUAAUCCGCGUUGUACCUUACCAGAAUUUAUUACAUGUAUACCGCCGUUAAUUUGAGAAUCUUAUUAGGGUUUAAUAAUUUUCUAGAUUUAUUUUUAAAUUUUAUUUCAGGUCAAGGUGCAGUUUGUAUUCAGGUGGAGAUGGAUUACAUUAUAUUUAUUAUUUGGAUUAUUUUUUGUAAUAUUUAAUAUGAAAUUGGAUUUAAUUGUAAAUUUUUGUAGAUUGUUAAAUUGAUUAUAGCUCUAUAAUAUGU
This 356-nucleotide ribosomal RNA is filed under the name Macrocerca sp. W14. RNAcentral's name for it is "partial small subunit ribosomal RNA". The record is from RNAcentral. Lineage: Eukaryota; Metazoa; Arthropoda; Insecta; Blattodea; Blattidae.